Molecule: ribosomal RNA, 2261 nt
Filed under: Staphylococcus aureus
Lineage: Bacteria; Bacillati; Bacillota; Bacilli; Caryophanales; Staphylococcaceae
Description: partial 23S ribosomal RNA
Rfam family: Bacterial large subunit ribosomal RNA
Source: RNAcentral
AGAUUAAGUUAUUAAGGGCGCACGGUGGAUGCCUUGGCACUAGAAGCCGAUGAAGGACGUUACUAACGACGAUAUGCUUUGGGGAGCUGUAAGUAAGCUUUGAUCCAGAGAUUUCCGAAUGGGGAAACCCAGCAUGAGUUAUGUCAUGUUAUCGAUAUGUGAAUACAUAGCAUAUCAGAAGGCACACCCGGAGAACUGAAACAUCUUAGUACCCGGAGGAAGAGAAAGAAAAUUCGAUUCCCUUAGUAGCGGCGAGCGAAACGGGAAGAGCCCAAACCAAAAAGCUUGCUUGUUGGGGUUGUAGGACACUCUAUACGGAGUUACAAAGGACGACAUUAGACGAAUCAUCUGGAAAGAUGAAUCAAAGAAGGUAAUAAUCCUGUAGUCGAAAAUGUUGUCUCUCUUGAGUGGAUCCUGAGUACGACGGAGCACGUGAAAUUCCGUCGGAAUCUGGGAGGACCAUCUCCUAAGGCUAAAUACUCUCUAGUGACCGAUAGUGAACCAGUACCGUGAGGGAAAGGUGAAAAGCACCCCGGAAGGGGAGUGAAAUAGAACCUGAAACCGUGUGCUUACAAGUAGUCAGAGCCCGUUAAUGGGUGAUGGCGUGCCUUUUGUAGAAUGAACCGGCGAGUUACGAUUUGAUGCAAGGUUAAGCAGUAAAUGUGGAGCCGUAGCGAAAGCGAGUCUGAAUAGGGCGUUUAGUAUUUGGUCGUAGACCCGAAACCAGGUGAUCUACCCUUGGUCAGGUUGAAGUUCAGGUAACACUGAAUGGAGGACCGAACCGACUUACGUUGAAAAGUGAGCGGAUGAACUGAGGGUAGCGGAGAAAUUCCAAUCGAACCUGGAGAUAGCUGGUUCUCUCCGAAAUAGCUUUAGGGCUAGCCUCAAGUGAUGAUUAUUGGAGGUAGAGCACUGUUUGGACGAGGGGCCCCUCUCGGGUUACCGAAUUCAGACAAACUCCGAAUGCCAAUUAAUUUAACUUGGGAGUCAGAACAUGGGUGAUAAGGUCCGUGUUCGAAAGGGAAACAGCCCAGACCACCAGCUAAGGUCCCAAAAUAUAUGUUAAGUGGAAAAGGAUGUGGCGUUGCCCAGACAACUAGGAUGUUGGCUUAGAAGCAGCCAUCAUUUAAAGAGUGCGUAAUAGCUCACUAGUCGAGUGACACUGCGCCGAAAAUGUACCGGGGCUAAACAUAUUACCGAAGCUGUGGAUUGUCCUUUGGACAAUGGUAGGAGAGCGUUCUAAGGGCGUUGAAGCAUGAUCGUAAGGACAUGUGGAGCGCUUAGAAGUGAGAAUGCCGGUGUGAGUAGCGAAAGACGGGUGAGAAUCCCGUCCACCGAUUGACUAAGGUUUCCAGAGGAAGGCUCGUCCGCUCUGGGUUAGUCGGGUCCUAAGCUGAGGCCGACAGGCGUAGGCGAUGGAUAACAGGUUGAUAUUCCUGUACCACCUAUAAUCGUUUUAAUCGAUGGGGGGACGCAGUAGGAUAGGCGAAGCGUGCGAUUGGAUUGCACGUCUAAGCAGUAAGGCUGAGUAUUAGGCAAAUCCGGUACUCGUUAAGGCUGAGCUGUGAUGGGGAGAAGACAUUGUGUCUUCGAGUCGUUGAUUUCACACUGCCGAGAAAAGCCUCUAGAUAGAAAAUAGGUGCCCGUACCGCAAACCGACACAGGUAGUCAAGAUGAGAAUUCUAAGGUGAGCGAGCGAACUCUCGUUAAGGAACUCGGCAAAAUGACCCCGUAACUUCGGGAGAAGGGGUGCUCUUUAGGGUUAACGCCCAGAAGAGCCGCAGUGAAUAGGCCCAAGCGACUGUUUAUCAAAAACACAGGUCUCUGCUAAACCGUAAGGUGAUGUAUAGGGGCUGACGCCUGCCCGGUGCUGGAAGGUUAAGAGGAGUGGUUAGCUUCUGCGAAGCUACGAAUCGAAGCCCCAGUAAACGGCGGCCGUAACUAUAACGGUCCUAAGGUAGCGAAAUUCCUUGUCGGGUAAGUUCCGACCCGCACGAAAGGCGUAACGAUUUGGGCACUGUCUCAACGAGAGACUCGGUGAAAUCAUAGUACCUGUGAAGAUGCAGGUUACCCGCGACAGGACGGAAAGACCCCGUGGAGCUUUACUGUAGCCUGAUAUUGAAAUUCGGCACAGCUUGUACAGGAUAGGUAGGAGCCUUUGAAACGUGAGCGCUAGCUUACGUGGAGGCGCUGGUGGGAUACUACCCUAGCUGUGUUGGCUUUCUAACCCGCACCACUUAUCGUGGUGGGAGACAGUGUCA